GACGAACGCUGGCGGCGUGCUUAACACAUGCAAGUCGAACGGAAAGGCCCUGCUUUUGUGGGGUGCUCGAGUGGCGAACGGGUGAGUAACACGUGAGUAACCUGCCCUUGACUUUGGGAUAACUUCAGGAAACUGGGGCUAAUACCGGAUAGGAGCUCCUGCUGCAUGGUGGGGGUUGGAAAGUUUCGGCGGUUGGGGAUGGACUCGCGGCUUAUCAGCUUGUUGGUGGGGUAGUGGCUUACCAAGGCUUUGACGGGUAGCCGGCCUGAGAGGGUGACCGGCCACAUUGGGACUGGGAUACGGCCCAGACUCCUACGGGAGGCAGCGGCGGGGAAUAUUGCACAAUGGGCGGAAGCCUGAUGCAGCAACGCCGCGUGCGGGAUGACGGCCUUCGGGUGGUAAACCGCUUUCGCCUGUGACGAAGCGUGAGUGACGGUAAUGGGUAAAGAAGCACCGGCUAACUACGU
RNAcentral lists this ribosomal RNA (467 nucleotides) under uncultured bacterium. RNAcentral describes it as "partial 16S ribosomal RNA". It matches the Rfam family "Bacterial small subunit ribosomal RNA", at positions 28 to 506 of the family's 1533-position model. The record is from RNAcentral.